This 378-nucleotide ribosomal RNA is filed under the name uncultured cyanobacterium. RNAcentral describes it as "bacterial SSU rRNA". It matches the Rfam family "Bacterial small subunit ribosomal RNA", at positions 376 to 770 of the family's 1533-position model. Lineage: Bacteria; Bacillati; Cyanobacteriota. The record is from RNAcentral.
GGCAACCCUGACGGAGCAACGCCGCGUGGGGGAGGAAUGUCUGUGGAUUGUAAACCCCUUUUCUCAGGGAAGAAGUCUGACGGUACCUGAGGAAUCAGCAUCGGCUAACUCCGUGCCAGCAGCCGCGGUAAGACGGAGGAUGCAAGCGUUAUCCGGAAUUAUUGGGCGUAAAGCGUCCGUAGGCGGUUUAUCAAGUCUGCCGUUAAAGACUGCAGCUUAACUGUGGGCGAGCGGUGGAAACUGAUGAACUAGAGUACGGUAGGGGUAGAGGGAAUUCCCAGUGUAGCGGUGAAAUGCGUAGAUAUUGGGAAGAACACCAGUGGCGAAGGCGCUCUACUGGGCCGUAACUGACGCUGAGGGACGAAAGCUAGGGGAGCG